GGGGAGAGGCCGGAUCCUGGGUUGUGUCCUGGCGCCCUGUGCUCCCGGGCCUGCGCUGUUGGAUUCGCUCUCCGGCCCUGCAGCCCCCU
Molecule: microRNA precursor, 89 nt
Filed under: Canis lupus familiaris (dog)
Lineage: Eukaryota; Metazoa; Chordata; Mammalia; Carnivora; Canidae
Description: mir-8799 microRNA precursor family
Rfam family: mir-8799 microRNA precursor family
Source: Rfam by way of RNAcentral